This 492-nucleotide ribosomal RNA is filed under the name uncultured bacterium. Its description in RNAcentral is "partial 16S ribosomal RNA". It matches the Rfam family "Bacterial small subunit ribosomal RNA", at positions 29 to 507 of the family's 1533-position model. The record is from RNAcentral.
AGUGAACGCUGGCGGUAGGCCUAACACAUGCAAGUCGAACGGCAGCACAGUAAGAGCUUGCUCUUACGGGUGGGGAGUGGCGGACGGGGGAGGAAUACAUCGGAAUCUACUUUUUCGUGGGGGAUAACGUAGGGAAACUUACGCUAAUACCGCAUACGACCUACGGGGGAAAGCAGGGGAUCUUCGGACCUUGCGCGAUUGAAUGAGCCGAUGUCGGAUUAGCUAGUUGGCGGGGUAAAGGCCCACCAAGGCGACGAUCCGUAGCUGGUCUGAGAGGAUGAUCAGCCACACUGGAACUGAGACACGGUCCAGACUCCUACGGGAGGCAGCAGUGGGGAAUAUUGGACAAUGGGCGCAAGCCUGAUCCAGCCAUACCGCGUGGGUGAAGAAGGCCUUCGGGUUGUAAAGCCCUUUUGUUGGGAAAGAAAAGCAGCAGGUUAAUACCCCGCUGUUCUGACGGUACCCAAAGAAUAAGCACCGGCUAACUUCGUG